This is a long non-coding RNA of Sinocyclocheilus grahami, 398 nucleotides long. RefSeq lists it as uncharacterized. The record is from RefSeq and is a predicted model, not a curated record. Lineage: Eukaryota; Metazoa; Chordata; Actinopteri; Cypriniformes; Cyprinidae. The transcript is spliced from 3 exons.
UUAUCUUUUAUUUUAAUUCUAUCAUGUAUAUUUUAUAACAGUGAAUGAAAAAUUUGCCUCAGCAAAUUCGAACGAUAACAUGCUAUUAAGAAUCUUUUUUUCAAGGCUUUGACGCUAUUUCUCUUUAUUAAAUGUUUUGAUUUAAACUUCUGACUUAGUUUGUGUUUCUAUAUGUUUAAAAAUUCAAAUGGUGCAGAUCAAGUAUUGCAAUUAAAAACCCAAAUGUUUCCAUUAUAUGAAUUGCGAACAUUUUUUUUAUUUCACCUUUUUAAAGAAUGAAGCCGUUUCGCGCGAGAUGGAAUUUCUUUUGGUUUAGUGUUAUAUCGAGUGACUGUAAAUUCCCACCUCCACUUUAGUUUAUCAAGCCAAAUGUAUUUUGUUCGUAAACAUAUAGAAAC